This 83-nucleotide small nuclear RNA is filed under the name Meriones unguiculatus (Mongolian gerbil). Lineage: Eukaryota; Metazoa; Chordata; Mammalia; Rodentia; Muridae. The record is from RNAcentral.
AUGCUUGCUCCAGCAGCACAUAUAUUAAAAUUAGAGGGAGUGAGAGAAGAUUAGCAUGGCCCCUCACAAGGAUGACAAGAUAA